Molecule: transfer RNA, 64 nt
Filed under: Trioza anthrisci
Lineage: Eukaryota; Metazoa; Arthropoda; Insecta; Hemiptera; Triozidae
Description: tRNA-Phe
Source: RNAcentral
UUUCCUGAUAGUUUAAAAAGAAUAAAAUUUUGAAGAAAUUUAGGUAGAAUUUUCUUUUGGAAAA